RNAcentral lists this ribosomal RNA (254 nucleotides) under uncultured bacterium. Its description in RNAcentral is "partial 16S ribosomal RNA". It matches the Rfam family "Bacterial small subunit ribosomal RNA", at positions 524 to 776 of the family's 1533-position model. The record is from RNAcentral.
UACGUAGGUGGCAAGCGUUGUCCGGAUUUAUUGGGUUUAAAGGGUGCGUAGGCGGUUUAAUAAGUCAGUGGUAAAAGGUAGCAGCUUAACUGUUUUACACGCCAUUGAUACUGUUAGACUUGAAUACACUGGAGGCAGAUAGAAUUCCUGAUGUAGCGGUGAAAUGCAUAGAUAUCAGGAGGAAUACCGAUUGCGAAGGCAGUCUGCUGUGGUGUUAUUGACGCUGAGGCACGAAAGUGCGGGGAUCAAACAGG